GACGAACGCUGGCGGCGUGCCUAAUACAUGCAAGUAGAACGCACAGUUUAUACCGUAGCUUGCUACACCAUAGACUGUGAGUUGCGAACGGGUGAGUAACGCGUAGGUAACCUGCCUGGUAGCGGGGGAUAACUAUUGGAAACGAUAGCUAAUACCGCAUAAUAUUAAUUAUUGCAUGAUAAUUAAUUGAAAGGUGCAAUUGCACCACUACCAGAUGGACCUGCGUUUUAUUAGCUAGUAGGGGAGGUAACGGCUCACCUAGGCGACGAUACAUAGCCGACCUGAGAGGGUGAUAGGCCACACUGGGACUGGGACACGGCCCAGGCUCCUACGGGGGGCAGCAGUAGGGAAUCUUCGGCAAUGGACGAAAGUCUGACCGAGCAACGCCGCGUGAGUGGAGAAGGUUUUCGGAUCGUAAAGCUAUGUUGUAAGGGAAGAACGGGUGUGAGAGUGGAAAGUUCACACUGUGACGGUAUCUUACCAGAAAGGGACGGCUAACUACGUG
Molecule: ribosomal RNA, 505 nt
Filed under: uncultured bacterium
Lineage: Bacteria
Description: partial 16S ribosomal RNA
Rfam family: Bacterial small subunit ribosomal RNA
Source: RNAcentral